UUAAAAAGCAUCGAAUUAAUG
RNAcentral lists this microRNA (21 nucleotides) under Populus tomentosa. RNAcentral's name for it is "pto-smR4". The record is from RNAcentral. Lineage: Eukaryota; Viridiplantae; Streptophyta; Magnoliopsida; Malpighiales; Salicaceae.